ACCUGCGUACCACUAGCGGGACCAUGACUGUUAAUCAGGGGGUCGUUGGUUCGAGUCCAACUUCGGGCGCCA
Molecule: transfer RNA, 72 nt
Filed under: Lysobacteraceae bacterium NML93-0399
Lineage: Bacteria; Pseudomonadati; Pseudomonadota; Gammaproteobacteria; Lysobacterales; Lysobacteraceae
Description: Xanthomonadaceae bacterium NML93-0399 tRNA-Ser
Source: RNAcentral